UACGAAGGGGGGCUAGCGUUGCUCGGAAUCACUGGGCGUAAAGCGCACGUAGGCGGAUUUCUAAGUCAGGGGGUGAAAUCCUGGAGCUCAACUCCAGAACUGCCUUUGAUACUGGGAAUCUCGAGUCCGGGAGAGGUGAGUGGAACUGCGAGUGUAGAGGUGAAAUUCGUAGAUAUUCGCAAGAACACCAGUGGCGAAGGCGGCUCACUGGCCCGGUACUGACGCUGAGGUGCGAAAGCGUGGGGAGCAAACAGG
Molecule: ribosomal RNA, 255 nt
Filed under: uncultured bacterium
Lineage: Bacteria
Description: partial 16S ribosomal RNA
Rfam family: Bacterial small subunit ribosomal RNA
Source: RNAcentral